UCUGCUAAAAGUAAAAAUGAGAAACUGUCUCUGAUGGUAUCAACAUAGAAGCAAUUUAUUUUCUUUAGCUGUAAUAAGGGAGGACAUAACUUUCUCUUGUUACCAGAGGCUGUGCUGUUGAAAACUUAUGGGUGAUUCUAUCAUCGUUCUUGAUAUGAUGAGACAGUGUUGUGAUCUGGCCAAAUGUGCAGACGCUGUAGCCACAUUGCCUUGGAUUGGGUUGCAACUCCACCCCUCACUGCUGAGCAAUCCUGGACAAGUAUAUAACUCCUUGUGCUUCAGACUCCUCGCCUGUAAAAUGAAGCUAAUCAUAGCACUUGCCUCAGAGAAUUGAUGUGAGGACACAAUAGGCCAAGAACUGCUAAGCACUUAGUGUGGUAUCUGGCACAAUCAGAGAAGGUUAACCAUUGCUAUUCUGUGAUUACUUAAAAUAUAUUUUUCAUGUCAAUUUAAACAAUAUUUUUGCCUUUAAUUUUCUUCUCCGUAAUUUUAGUUGGUGAAAAUAAAAUUUGAGCCCAUUAACUCAUUCCAUAUAUUAUGAAAAAUCAGCAUAAAGGUAAAAGUAUUAAUUUCUGACUGAGCUCAAAGAGCAGACAUUUAUGCCACUACGCAUGUGGGCAGGACACUGUAAUGAAUAACAAAAUACAUUAGCCAAAGAAAGACUAGGAUGAGUAAGGGAAUUUUCUUUCAUAUGAAACUCAUUUUUCAAAUAUCUAUCAAUUCAUUGAGUUAACAAGUUCAGCAAAAAGAGAAGUAAAGAAAAUAUAAAUGAACAAGCAGCUGUUAGAGUCAGUUAUGAACUGAGCAAAUGAAGACGAUUUCCUGAUAAUCUGCUGAGGUUUAGUUUUGAGUUUUGAGGAACAUAGUCAUCUUCAUCUGAAUAACUUUGAAUAUAACAUCAUUGACUUUCUGAUCUAUUAAAUUAAAACGCGUACACUGUAGAUAACAUGGAAAUGCAAAAAAUCAUAAAAAAUACAAUUUGCUUUAUAAUUUUGAGGUAUUUUGAUAUAAAAUUUAAUACCUACUCACAGUUUAGACUCCAUUUUAUAAAAUAAUGUCAUAUCCUAGUUUUACUUUUAUUCGAGUGUUGCAUUAGGGAAGUUUGCCAAAUAUUCUAUUGAAACAUGAUUUUUAACAGCUGAUUACUAUUCUAGUAUGUGUCUCAAUCAUGAUUAUUAUUGUCAUUCUCUUUUAUUGGGCAUUUAGAUUUUUAAAUUUUUGCAAUUGUAAAUACAGUGUCAGUGAGCAUUCUUUUAUGAAAAUCGCUUAUCUCAUCUAUCAUUGUUACCUUAAGGUGGAUUUCUAGAAAUGAAAUUGCUGCAGCAAAAGGACUGCAUAAUGUAAACACUCUUGAGACAGAUGACCAAUUUGUUUCCUGCAGUUUGUUCGCAUUUACACACUUCUAACAAUAUGGAGAUGUAUGUCUCACUGAAAUCAUGAUGACAACAGAGUUUUUUGCUUCUGUCUGCCAAUUUUUCCUUUGGGGCACUCAUCAUUUUGAUUACUUAAAUAUGCAUCUUAUGGUAGAAACUGGAACCACUGUCUUGAAUCAAAAGAUGGAAGAAGCUUCUCUUGAAGAUUAAAGGGACACAAGACAGAAGUUGUCUGUGUCCCUGAGGGCUUAGCAGAGGAGACUUGACCUACUUUCUUGGGCUUGUUGUGACAUCUAUUUUAAUUACAAUGUUCCUGAAAAGCCACUUUCCUGAGAAGAACUGCAACAGAUUUUCAUGAUAUCAAGAAGGCUUUAUGUUCCUGUAAGAAAGUUUGGCUGUAAGUUCCUAUCAAGAUUCUACAAGAUUGUGUGACUGCAAAAAUACCCUUUGAAGUAGUUGGUCCAGAAACACUGAAGGUUUGUAUAGAAGAGACAGACCUUCCACCCUGUCUCUUCUAUCACACAGCAAUGACUGAUAAACUGGAAAAUUUAAAGAAGACAUAAAGGCUAAAUUCCAUGACAAAUCAUGUCAGUGGACUAGUCUAAAUGGAAGUGCAAAACAGUAAGUGUGCACUGAAGUGCAAAACCAACUGAGUUCUACAUGACCGAAUAUAAGCAUAGAUCGCCAGGAAUUCAGCUCCUACAAAGAAAAUUGGAACCAAUGUGUAUUGACCCUUGCCAAAAAGUAGAGACUGUUUUGGCUAUGAAAAUAGUCCUGGUCACAGCUCCCACCAAAAAAUGAAAACUUAAAAAUAAUGAUAAUUUUAAAAGCUGGGAUGUAUUUUUUAGGGCCGAGGAAAGUUUCGCACUGAGUUACUUGAGAUAAUGGGAGAAAACUAAGACAACUGUGCAGCCACCACAGGUAACUCAGGAACUGGAUAGUAUGCCCAGUUAGGAUUAGAGACUUGAGAUGUCUUAUGUAGCAAUAAACUGAGGCUAUCAGUGGCAUGCAAAGUAAACCCAAAGAAAGCAGAAAGGAAAUAAAAAGUACUAAAGGUAAAAUCAGUAAUUUUAAAAAGAAUAUAUAACCCAAUAGAAUCAAAGUUUAGUUCUCCAAA
Molecule: long non-coding RNA, 2490 nt
Filed under: Homo sapiens (human)
Lineage: Eukaryota; Metazoa; Chordata; Mammalia; Primates; Hominidae
Description: HSALNT0133465
Source: RNAcentral